AGUUAAUGAAAUUUAGGUUUAAAAUUUUAUGCAGCUAUUUAAAUACUUAAAAUGAAUUUUUAUUUUUAUUUUUUUUAUAAUUGAUUAUGACUAAAAUUUGAACUUAAUGUUUGACUGUUUUGGAGAUUACUAAAAAAAUCUUGUGAUUCUUAAGCUGUGAUUCUUCAAUACACACAGUUUUGAAACGCAGUCGAUGGAAGUUAAUUUUUUUUCUUUUUAAAUAUUGUGACAAUUAGGUAAUAAUUCGAAUUAGUUUUUGCGUAAUUAUAUUAUUAACAUUUAAUAAACAUUUAUAAUACAGUGAGGAUUAGUUUUAGAUAUUAUUGACUAAAUGACAUUAAGAUUUAAUCUUUAAAAAAAAUAUAAAAAUCAUUUCCGCUGGUUCAUUACUUAGAUUGAAAUAAUGCCAAAUUAAUAAAAACAGUUGAAUAAUAGUUGAUAUAAUUAAUUCAUCAUGAUGCUUUUCUUUUUUUAUGGAAUAAUUCAUUCAUUUCUAUUGUCAGUGUAAGGCUUCUAACUCUAUAUAAAAUCAUCUUCAUGACAUAACAAUAUUAAAACAACUAUAUAUAUAACAAAUUUUAGAAUUUCAUUCUUUUCAAAUUAAUAUACACAUUAAAAAUAAAAAUUGUAUUAAUAAUGAUAUAAUUUUAUAAAAAUUAAUUGAUUUAAUGGAGAGCACUAUUACAAUUAAACUAAAGAUACUCUUCCAUAUAAAUAAGAAUAACUUAAGAAAGUAAAAGGGUUUAAAUACUUUUCAAUUAACAGACUCUCUU
RNAcentral lists this unclassified non-coding RNA (773 nucleotides) under Hevea brasiliensis (rubber tree). The record is from RNAcentral. Lineage: Eukaryota; Viridiplantae; Streptophyta; Magnoliopsida; Malpighiales; Euphorbiaceae.